This 935-nucleotide ribosomal RNA is filed under the name metagenome. RNAcentral's name for it is "bacterial SSU rRNA". It matches the Rfam family "Bacterial small subunit ribosomal RNA", at positions 286 to 1244 of the family's 1533-position model. The record is from RNAcentral.
GCUGGUCUGAGAGGAUGGACAGCCACAUUGGAACUGAGACACGGUCCAAACUCCUACGGGAGGCAGCAGUGGGGAAUUUUCCGCAAUGGGCGAAAGCCUGACGGAGCGACGCUGCGUGAAGGAUGACGGCCUGCGGGUUGUAAACUUCUUUUCUCGAAGAAGAAUAAAUGACGGUAUUCGAGGAAUAAGCAUCGGCUAACUCUGUGCCAGCAGCCGCGGUAAGACAGAGGAUGCAAGUGUUAUUCGGAUUGAUUGGGCGUAAAGCGUCUGUAGGCGGUUUAGAAAGUCUUUUGUGAAAUUCUUCAGCUCAACUGGGGCUCCGCAAAAGAAACUUCUAGACUUGAGGGAAGUAGAGGUACAGGGAAUUUCCGGUGGAGCGGUGAAAUGCGUAGAUAUCGGAAGGAACACCAAUAUGGCGAAGGCACUGUACUGGGCUUUACCUGACGCUAAGAGACGAAAGCUAAAGGAGUGAUUAGGAUUAGAUACCCUAGUAAUUUUAGCCGUAAACGAUGGAAACUCACUGCCGAGCGGUAUACAACGAGCGGUGGUCAAGCUAACGCGUGAAGUUUCCCGCCUGGGGAUUACGCUUGCAAAAGUGAAACUCAAAGGAAUUGACGGGGACCCGCACAAGCGGUGGAGUAUGUGGUUUAAUUCGAUGCUACACGAAGAACCUUACCAGGGUUUGAAAUCAUUUCAAAACUCCUUGAAAGAGGAGCCUCCUUCGGGAUGGAAUGACAGGUGGUGCAUGGCUGUCGUCAGCUCGUGUUGUGAAAUGUCGAGUUAAGUCUCGUAACGAGCGCAACCCAUGUCUCUUGUUGCUCACUGAGUGCUUAAGAGAGACUGCCGACCAACAUCGGAGGAAGGUGUGGAUGAUGUCAAGUCAGCAUGCCCCUUAUAUCUUGGGCUACACACGUACUACAAUGGUAGGGACAAUG